Molecule: long non-coding RNA, 277 nt
Filed under: Vigna radiata
Lineage: Eukaryota; Viridiplantae; Streptophyta; Magnoliopsida; Fabales; Fabaceae
Description: long non-coding RNA (VRAD_LNC010169)
Source: RNAcentral
UUUUGAAGGCUUGUAAUGAGGCUGGGCUAACAAGAAAAAUUGGUUUUUCUGGAUAAUAAAAUCCUUGAGUUAAGAGAGCUACAUUAACAUUCAAAGUUCAAGCCCAACUCUCUUCUUCACCAAUCUUACCCAUUCCCAACUUCUUUCUUUUAUUUUUACAUUGAGCUUACUUCAUGCUUUUUUUUUUCUUUUCUUUUUCUUUAUUUCUCAUGCAUUUUUCUUUUUCAUCACUUGAGCUCAAUGCCUUUUCUUUCCCAUUUAACUUUCCCCAUACAAC